This 1157-nucleotide long non-coding RNA is filed under the name Capra hircus (goat). RNAcentral's name for it is "lncRNA (ENSCHIG00010002086.1)". Lineage: Eukaryota; Metazoa; Chordata; Mammalia; Artiodactyla; Bovidae. The record is from RNAcentral.
UUUCACAUUAUAAAAUAACAUAUCAUCAUUCUUUUUUAAGGGUUCAUUUGGCUAAUGAGCAAAUCCUCAUGCUAAAUACAGUGACUGGUUAAAACUGUGCCAUUUAAUUUAGUAAGUACCACUAGCCAAAUACAGCUAUUUAACUUUAAAUUAAUCAAAAUUAAAUUAAAUUAAAAAUUCAGCUCCUCCAUCGUAUAAACCACAUUUCAAGGGCUAAAAAGCCACAUAUGACUAGUGGCUACUAUACUGAAUAGUGCAGGCUAUCAAGCAUUUCUUUGAUCAUAGACAAUUCUAUUGGCAGCUCUGAGUUAGAAAGGAAUUCUCGAUUCUUGUGCCAGAUCAUACUUGGUAAUCUAUGAUAACACUCCUAGACCCAGCUGUGUUUCAGUUUGUCUGUGUAAUGGGAAAGGAUGCUGUCAACAAAGUAGAAAUUAUGUGGGCACUUUAAUGUAAUUGCUAAUUGAUGCUUUAUAAAUAGAACAAAGAAUAGUGUACAUUUAAAUACUAACGUGAAUCACCUUCCUCAUUUUAGGUAUAUUCCAUAGAACUCUAACAGUUUUAAACCUUAUCAUAUUUCCAACAACUUCUCUGUAAAAUGAGGCAAAAAGAAAUACUGAAAGGUUAUCGUUCAUCUUGUCAGAGAAUUAUAGACUACUGUAAAUAUGUAAAAUGUUCGAUAUUAACUAAAUGACCAAAGCUUUACAGAAUUAUAGACUACUGUAAAUAUGUAAAAUGUUCGAUAUUAACUAAAAAACCAAAGCAAAAGAAUAAUGAUAUCAUAUAUUUGUAUAUCACCUUUUUCCAAAUAUUCUCACAUGCAUUCUCUAAUUAAUAUUUGAAAUAACACUGUGAAGGAGCUAGGGGCAAGGUGUAUAUGUUAUCAUUCCUAUUUUACAUUCAAAGAGGUUGAGUUACUUAUUCAAGGUCAGAAGAUUUGAAUGUCAGCAAUAGAACCCAGGCUUUUGACUCUUAAGUUCACUUUUGAUUCUGUUUACCACCCCAUUUCCAGNGCUCUGGAGACUAGUAUUGCUCCUCUGUCUUCCACAGGGAAGAAUGAGACAUGCCCCUAAUCUUGGCAGAGCCCAUAUUCUGAUGGAGAAAGAGAGACACGUUGAUUACCAUCCUAUAGCAGAGAUGAGUGGUAGAGUUUAUUACAA